RNAcentral lists this ribosomal RNA (112 nucleotides) under Acidobacteriota bacterium. RNAcentral's name for it is "Acidobacteria bacterium partial 23S ribosomal RNA". It matches the Rfam family "Bacterial large subunit ribosomal RNA", at positions 2814 to 2925 of the family's 2925-position model. Lineage: Bacteria; Pseudomonadati; Acidobacteriota. The record is from RNAcentral.
CAGGGUAACCUGCCUAAAGACCCCUUGUAGACUACAAGGUUGAUAGGCCCGAUGUGCAAGAGCAGCAAUGCUCUCAGCUUACGGGUACUAAUCGGUCGUGAGGCUUGACCAU